Molecule: ribosomal RNA, 654 nt
Filed under: uncultured archaeon
Lineage: Archaea
Description: bacterial SSU rRNA
Rfam family: Archaeal small subunit ribosomal RNA
Source: RNAcentral
GCCUAAAGCGUCCGUAGCCUGAUCUAUAAGUUUCCGGUUAAAUCCACAUGCUCAACAUUUGGGCUGCCGGAAAAACUGUAGAUCUAGGGAGUGGGAGAGGUAGACGGUACUCGGUAGGAAGGGGUAAAAUCCUUUGAUCUAUUGAUGACCACCAGUGGCGAAGGCGGUCUACUAGAACACGUUCGACGGUGAGGGAUGAAAGCUGGGGGAGCAAACCGGAUUAGAUACCCGGGUAGUCCCAGCUGUAAACGAUGCAGACUCGGUGAUGCAUUGGCUUGUGGCCAGUGCAGUGCCGCAGGGAAGCCGUUAAGUUUGCCGCCUGGGAAGUACGUACGCAAGUAUGAAACUUAAAGGAAUUGGCGGGGGAGCACCACAAGGGGUGAAGCCUGCGGUUCAAUUGGAGUCAACGCCAGAAAUCUUACCCGGAGAGACAGCAGAAUGAAGGUCAAGCUGAAGACUUUACCAGACAAGCUGAGAGGUGGUGCAUGGCCGUCGCCAGCUCGUGCCGUGAGAUGUCCUGUUAAGUCAGGUAACGAGCGAGACCCUUGCCUCUAGUUGCUACCAUUGCUCUCUGGAGCAGUGGGGCGAAUUAGCGGGACCGCCGCAGUUAAUGCGGAGGAAGGAAAGGGCUACGGCAGGUCAGUAUGCCCCGAA